RNAcentral lists this ribosomal RNA (496 nucleotides) under uncultured bacterium. RNAcentral describes it as "partial 16S ribosomal RNA". It matches the Rfam family "Bacterial small subunit ribosomal RNA", at positions 28 to 507 of the family's 1533-position model. The record is from RNAcentral.
GAUGAACGCUGGCGGCGUGCCUAAUACAUGCAAGUCGAGCGAACGGACGAGAAGCUUGCUUUUCUGAUGUUAGCGGCGGACGGGUGAGUAACACGUGGAUAACCUACCUAUAAGACUGGGAUAACUUCGGGAAACCGGAGCUAAUACCGGAUAAUAUUUUGAACCGCAUGGUUCAAAAGUGAAAGACGGUCUUGCUGUCACUAUAGAUGGAUCCGCGCUGCAUUAGCUAGUUGGUAAGGUAACGGCUUACCAAGGCAACGAUGCAUAGCCGACCUGAGAGGGUGAUCGGCCACACUGGAACUGAGACACUGUCCAGACUCCUACGGGAGGCAGCAGUAGGGAAUCUUCCGCAAUGGGCGAAAGCCUGACGGAGCAACGCCGCGUGAGUGAUGAAGGUCUUCGGAUCGUAAAACUCUGUUAUUAGGGAAGAACAUAUGUGUAAGUAACUGUGCACAUCUUGACGGUACCUAAUCAGAAAGCCACGGCUAACUACGUG